This 256-nucleotide ribosomal RNA is filed under the name uncultured bacterium. RNAcentral describes it as "partial 16S ribosomal RNA". It matches the Rfam family "Bacterial small subunit ribosomal RNA", at positions 795 to 1052 of the family's 1533-position model. The record is from RNAcentral.
CCACGCCGUAAACGAUGAGUGCUAGGUGUUGGGGGUCAAACCUCGGUGCCGCAGUUAACACAUUAAGCACUCCGCCUGGGGAGUACGUGCGCAAGCAUGAAACUCAAAGGAAUUGACGGGGACCCGCACAAGCAGCGGAGCAUGUGGUUUAAUUCGAUGCAACGCGAAGAACCUUACCAGGGCUUGACAUAUGGGUGAAACACAUAGAGAUAUGUGCCUCUCUUCGGAGACGCCCAUACAGGUGGUGCAUGGUUGU